GGAGCGAUGGCCGAGCGGUUGAAGGCGCUGGUCUUGAAAACCAGUGAUACCUAAAGGUACCGGGGGUUCGAAUCCCUCUCGCUCCGCCA
This 89-nucleotide transfer RNA is filed under the name Oscillospiraceae bacterium. RNAcentral's name for it is "tRNA-Ser". It matches the Rfam family "tRNA". From Rfam's summary of the family: Transfer RNA (tRNA) molecules are approximately 80 nucleotides in length. Lineage: Bacteria; Bacillati; Bacillota; Clostridia; Eubacteriales; Oscillospiraceae. The record is from RNAcentral.